Molecule: long non-coding RNA, 799 nt
Filed under: Nicotiana benthamiana
Lineage: Eukaryota; Viridiplantae; Streptophyta; Magnoliopsida; Solanales; Solanaceae
Description: long non-coding RNA (NBEN_LNC031375)
Source: RNAcentral
AAAUACCCGCUCUUUCUUCUCGCGCUAAGCUAAAAUCAUUGUUUCCUCAAUUUCGGAUACCUAGAAGUUUUAAUAGAUGGGUUACGCGUGAGGGACCCGACAACUUUGGCGUCAAUAACCAUAUCCUUCGCCUCUUCUCUCCAUCUCCUGUGUUUUUGUUUCAGAAAUUCAAUUCAAAUUCUAUAUUAUUUCACACUUUUUCUUUUUCUUUUUCUUUUUCUCUUUGUACUCUCGCUCUUUUCAUCUGCAACAACUGUAAUUACCAGAUGCUUUGCGUCAUAUCCAAAUAUAAUACAGGUCCCCCGUCCCCCAUAUACAUUCAUGGUUUUGUGGUCCAAUCAUUCUUUGUAAUCUACUGAUAUAACUCUUUACUUUUUAUGUCUGUUUCCACCAAUAAUCCACCCAGAACUAGUGGUGGCAUUGGACUAAGCCGUAGCGAUGAUGACGAUAACGACGUCGGUGCUAGUGGUAGGUGUGAUGAGAUGGAUGAUUCAGCGCUUGGUGCUGCUUGGUAAUUCUUCAUUUAUCCCGUUUAUGGCUCUCGUUAGAGUCAGAAUUGCGGCCUUCUCGACGAGACUACUUCUUGGACAAAGUCAACGGAGUUUGGGACUGAGCAACUUGAAGAUUUUAUUACUUUUUUUAAGUGUAUUUCAAUGUAUCUCGUUGUAUUUCAUGUAUUUCAUUGUAUUCACUGUCUCGCUAUAUUCCAUAAAUAUAUUCAUAUGUAUUCUUUAAUUAAUAUAAUUUAUGUAUUCAGAUGUAUAUAUAUAUAUUCAAAUGUAUCUACAAUAUGUAUUCA